AUUGAACGCUGGCGGCAUGCUUUACACAUGCAAGUCGAACGGUAACAGGGUGCUUGCACCGCUGACGAGUGGCGAACGGGUGGGUAAUGCGUCGGAACGCACCGAGUAAUGGGGGAUAACGCAGCGAAAGCUGUGCUAAUACCGCAUACGCUCUGCGGAGGAAAGCGGGGGACCUUCGGGCCUCGCGUUAUUCGAGCGGCCGACGUCUGAUUAGCUAGUAGGUGAGGUAAGAGCUCACCUAGGCGACGAUCAGUAGCGGGUCUGAGAGGAUGAUCCGCCACACUGGGACUGAGACACGGCCCAGACUCCUACGGGAGGCAGCAGUGGGGAAUUUUGGACAAUGGGCGCAAGCCUGAUCCAGCCAUGCCGCGUGUCUGAAGAAGGCCUUCGGGUUGUAAAGGACUUUUGUCAGGGAGGAAAUCCUUAGCGCUAAUACCGUUGAGGGAUGACAGUACCUGAAGAAUAAGCACCGGCUAACUACGUGCCAGCAGCCGCGGUAA
RNAcentral lists this ribosomal RNA (500 nucleotides) under uncultured bacterium. RNAcentral describes it as "partial 16S ribosomal RNA". It matches the Rfam family "Bacterial small subunit ribosomal RNA", at positions 30 to 523 of the family's 1533-position model. The record is from RNAcentral.